Molecule: ribosomal RNA, 253 nt
Filed under: uncultured bacterium
Lineage: Bacteria
Description: partial 16S ribosomal RNA
Rfam family: Bacterial small subunit ribosomal RNA
Source: RNAcentral
GACGAACCGUGCAAACGUUGUUCGGAAUCACUGGGCUUAAAGGGCGCGUAGGCGGGUUCGCAAGUCUGUGGUGAAAGCCCCCAGCUUAACUGGGGAAGUGCCGUGGAUACUGCGAAUCUUGAGGAGGGUAGGGGCAUCUGGAACGGUCGGUGGAGCGGUGAAAUGCGUUGAUAUCGACCGGAACUCCGGUGGCGAAGGCGGGUUGCUGGGCUGACACUGACGCUGAUGCGCGAAAGCCAGGGGAGCGAACGGG